CUCUCCUGAGGCUCUCAGGUCCUCAGGACAGGAAAAAUCCUAGCAGAGGAUUUUUCAUAAAAUAUCAUGGCUACAAGAAGACAAGAGGGCUUCUGAGACCAGAAAAUAUGUAACCAAUGCAAGUGUUAAGAUCUGUCUCUGAGCGAAUUUAGAAGCAGUCUCCCUGGAUCAGAAGCCACAGUCCAGCAGACGGCUUUGGAUACUAUUUGGAAUGCUUUCCCUUGGUCCUCUGUAUUUCACCAUGACUUUCCACUCUAUCUGUGUUACACAGCCACCUGGCAUGGCUUGGCACUUAAAGGCUGAUGAGAUAAGGGGACUAGAAUUUCCAAACUGAGGGUUACAUCUUGAACUUGGUUGGCAACAAAGCAGUAAUUUCCAUGUGAAAAACAACAGCAACCCCAGGGAUUUUGAGGAAACAGACAUAAAACCCUAUGUUUUGUGGAACCUACAACAAUCACUUCUCUUCAGCUUUAAAUAUUACACAGAAAAGUCAAGAUUAAUUUUGUCUUCUCCAACAGUACUUGGAGCAUACCUGAUCUGGCUUUCUCAAUCUCCUGGAGAAGCAAAAGUAGCAGACACAGGACAAUUUUUCACAGACCACUUCUAAAACUGAAAUAUGUCAAAAUAACAUGAAAAUAAACAGCUGAAAUUAUUGAGAAGGAUUAUAGACAAUAUAAAUACUAUACUCCCCUCACUGUGCAGUUUUUGCCUAGCUGUAAUUUAUUUCAUUUGUCCUAAAUUGAUCUCUUCCAUAAUUUAAGUUUUGACUUUUCAGAUCAUAAGAUUUUAGGGUAAAUAGGUAAUUACUGCAGGAGUCCUUUCUGAAGAUAUUUAGAUUUUUUUUUUUAUCAUCUGUUUUUGUGGGUAUGCAGGUAUAUCAACAAGAUAUGCUUUUCAAUACCAAGUAUGUAGAAACAUCAUGAUUAAUGAAAUUCAGAGUACAAUUAAAAAUGCCAAUGUGUAUUUCUUCAAUUUGUCAGCGUGUUCAUGAAGAAUAUCUGCAUGAAGAAUUCCUGCAGUUUCUGUCACUGUACACCUGGCACCUGUACAGCUGGGCAUCUGCUGCAAGUCUUGGAGACGUUUUACUGUCUCAGAAGACCAACAGAAGUCAUCAUCAUUGCUUUAAGUCCCUCAGUAGUCAGCAGUCCUUCAAAGAAAAGAGCACUACUCUUGGCUUGCCUUCGUCUCCCUACCAGCUGACUUAUGCUGCUCUUCCUAGUGCAUACUUGUGCAACCCUAGCAGUUUGAGCUCACACUUGCUGUCGUUCAGACAUACUCCUUUACUACAGGCUGAGAAUCAACAGUAUGGGUGGAUUUUGAAGGGGCCAAUGAAGAUCAUCUAGUCCAACCCCCUUUCUCAAACAGGAUUACUAGAGAAAGUUGUACAGAAUC
This is a long non-coding RNA of Passer domesticus (house sparrow), 1392 nucleotides long. RefSeq lists it as uncharacterized. The record is from RefSeq and is a predicted model, not a curated record. NCBI's taxonomy places the organism in Eukaryota, Metazoa, Chordata, Aves, Passeriformes, Passeridae. The transcript is spliced from 3 exons.